Molecule: ribosomal RNA, 254 nt
Filed under: uncultured bacterium
Lineage: Bacteria
Description: partial 16S ribosomal RNA
Rfam family: Bacterial small subunit ribosomal RNA
Source: RNAcentral
UACGUAGGGUCCGAGCGUUAAUCGGAAUUACUGGGCGUAAAGCGUGCGCAGGCGGUUCGCAAAGACAGGUGUGAAAGCCCCGGGCUCAACCUGGGAAUGGCAAUGGAUACUGGCAAGCUAGAGUGCGGUAGAGGGUAGUGGAAUUCCCGGUGUAGCGGUGAAAUGCGUAGAGAUCGGGAGGAACACCAGUGGCGAAGGCGGCUACCUGGACCAGCACUGACACUGAGGCACGAAAGCGUGGGGAGCAAACAGGG